GCGGGGGUGGCAGAAUCCGGUAUCGCGCUAGACUCGAAAUCUAGUGAGCUUCGGCUCUUCCGAGUUCAAAUCUCGGCCCCCGCG
RNAcentral lists this transfer RNA (84 nucleotides) under Candidatus Micrarchaeota archaeon CG_4_10_14_0_2_um_filter_60_11. RNAcentral's name for it is "tRNA-Ser". It matches the Rfam family "tRNA". Rfam says of the family: Transfer RNA (tRNA) molecules are approximately 80 nucleotides in length. Their secondary structure includes four short double-helical elements and three loops (D, anti-codon, and T loops). Further hydrogen bonds mediate the characteristic L-shaped molecular structure. tRNAs have two regions of fundamental functional importance: the anti-codon, which is responsible for specific mRNA codon recognition, and the 3' end, to which the tRNAs corresponding amino acid is attached (by aminoacyl-tRNA synthetases). tRNAs cope with the degeneracy of the genetic code in two manners: having more than one tRNA (with a specific anti-codon) for a particular amino acid; and 'wobble' base-pairing, i.e. permitting non-standard base-pairing at the 3rd anti-codon position. The record is from RNAcentral. Lineage: Archaea; Nanobdellati; Microcaldota. RNAcentral also lists the same sequence under 1 other name.